GACGAACGCUGGCGGCGUGCUUAACACAUGCAAGUCGAGCGGUAAGGCCCUUUCGGGGGUACACGAGCGGCGAACGGGUGAGUAACACGUGGGUGACCUGCCCUCAGCUCUGGGAUAAGCCUGGGAAACUGGGGUCUAAUACUGGAUAUGACUCCACGGUGCAUGGUACGGUGGGGGUGGAAAGCCUUGUGCGGCUGAGGAUGGGCCCGNGGCCUAUCAG
RNAcentral lists this ribosomal RNA (220 nucleotides) under uncultured bacterium. RNAcentral's name for it is "partial 16S ribosomal RNA". It matches the Rfam family "Bacterial small subunit ribosomal RNA", at positions 28 to 244 of the family's 1533-position model. The record is from RNAcentral.